This 1556-nucleotide ribosomal RNA is filed under the name Triticum aestivum (bread wheat). RNAcentral's name for it is "partial small subunit ribosomal RNA". Lineage: Eukaryota; Viridiplantae; Streptophyta; Magnoliopsida; Poales; Poaceae. The record is from RNAcentral.
AUGAGCACGCUCAACACCGCACGGAACCAAACGAGGUGGUGCAAGUUGGGUGACCCCAAGCAAUACUCCACCUCUCCAUCCCUCCUCCUAGAUAUGAAACCACACCGCAACGGGUUCCGCAACCAACUUCCCUGUCAAUACUCCGUUCUCGUUAUUUCUUAUCCCCACACACGCGCGCACGGCGACGAAGCAGUCAGAACGCAUCAGCAGCGGCAGAAGAAGAUUGGAUUGGAUAGCGCAGGCGAGGGCGAGCCCUCACCGUCGUCACCGCCGAUGAGGAACCCGCCCGGCCGGCACCUCCUGCGCGUCGCCACCCGCGCCGUGCGCUCCUCGUCCGGGUUCGGCGGCGCCUCCACGUCCGCCACGUCCCCCGGCGCCGCCUCGUCCGGGGGCCGCCCGCGCAGCCGAGGCGGCGGCGGCGGCGGCAUGCUCCUGCGGGCCACGUCCCCGCCCCCGCCCUCCGCCGUCGCGGCCGCCGCGUGCUGGGAGUCCCGCACGCUGCGCCGCGACGGGGAGGACGACUGGGAGGAGGUCGUCGUCGCCGCGGCCGACGGGGCGGCUCCGGGCGCCGGCGACGCGGAGGUGGACAGCGACUACAGGGUCGUGUUCUGGUCCCCGCCCACCGGGGACGAAGUCCGCGCCGCCUUCUCUAGCAUCCAGGAGGUGUUUGAGGGUUCUUAUUAUGAUGUGAAUUCAGAUGAAACUGAGAAACAACUAGCACUGCUGUCCAACUCAGAGCAUUCCUCAUCAACCAAUUCAUCAGGAUCAGACGAUUGGGUCGAACCUGCUGCAUAUGUUCUCAACUCUACUGCUCUUCUGACCAGGGAGCAUAGGAAUGUUUUGGAUGCCUUCCGUCUAUUGCAAAGAGACCCUAAUGUUCAGAAAAUGGUUAUGUCCUUGUCAUGUGAUAGGACUGUAUGGGAUGCUGUAAUGAAUAACGAGGCAGUGCAAGAAUUCAGGAGAUCUUUCCAGGAUGGCAAAGAAGUUAAUAGAAAGGGAAACUCUUGCGGCCCUGCUGUAGUGCUUAAGUGGAUCCUGGCCAACACCCAGGCAAAAAUAACGGAAUUCUUCGAUAAUAUAGCGAAGAUUGUCAGCAUGCUCUUCCACCCUCAAAGCGACGAAGACAAGCCCGAUCUGUACAGCGAUGCAGUGAAGGUGUCCUUCAUGCUCUCGGUGUUCGUCUUCAUCGUGGUGGCCGUUGCUCGUACCAAUUAUGAGCCGUGGGAUUUCGAAGUGUGGUGAUUGCAAGAUUUCUACGAACACGUUUUGUAGGACAUCACAGGCACACGAAACUUGUACAUUGAUUAUUACUGGGCUGUAAUCAUUUGCUCAUGAAACUGUUGUAAAGGUAUUGUUUGUUUUGACUCUGUUUUUCGUUUCUGUAACUGUAAAGUCAAUGAGGAUUCUUCAUCGUGUGAUGCUUUCCAACCCGGUGGCCCUGCGUGUAGAGCUUGAGCAGCGCCAGCGAGUAGUUUCAGACAAUAGAUAGAAUGCUGAAAAGAAUUGGAAAAUCUUGCCACGAAAUGUAUAUAUUCUGCUUAAAGCUGCAAUCUUUC